UACUAACCUUUUCACCAACAAUGUUCUGUGUCUGAGUUACCCUAUUCAAGUCCAGCCUUAUGUUACCAACACUAGGAAAAAUAUGUACGUAUCAAGAAUUAUUGAGUUUUGAAAGAAAUGCCAGUUACAAUUUAUAGCCAGUUGCUAUAGUUUUUAAAUGACGCUUAUUUGGGGAUCUGGGCCAUUUUAAAGCCUCAGUCAUUGACAUUCAGUCUAAAAGAUGAUGUGCAGUUUCUCGUACUCUUUUAUACCCAAAUGUUUCUGAAUAUUUUGAUGCACUUCUUCCAGCCUUAUCUCUGCUUUCUAUCUCCCUGUCUCUCCCAUAAUCUGUCACCACUCCCCCCUCUCCCUCCCUGGAAUGUUGGUGUUUAGCUCAAACAUACCUCUGAGAGAGCCUGAAUGCAAUGCCGAGCAGCCUGCAGAAGCUUCUCCUCGUCGUGUCUCUGCAACCUCUUCCCCAUUAUUCUUAAAAAAAUCAAAGCAUACCUCAAGCGGGGAGCAGAGUGGUCCUGCUACGCAAAAGAGCCUUUUCAACCGUUCUACUCUGAGGAAAAGACUUCAUUCUUCUUCCUCUGUGCCAAAUUUUCUAAAAUUUCUGGCUCCUGUAGCUGAAAAUAGCACUUCUGACUUUAACGGCAAGAAAAGUGACUUUGAAAUAAAAUCCAGCCAUAGUGAUGUGGGAUGUGAUAGCCCUGUAAGGACGCGGCGUCAUUCUUGGAGGCAACAGAUAUUUCUUCGUGUGGCAACUCCACAAAAGGGAUGUGAUUCCCCUAAUAGAUAUGAAGGUAAGCAGUAAAUGUUCUUUGUACACAAGUUGUCGAUAAAACUGGAUUGGAUUUAUUAUUUAUGUUUUUUAUAAUAUCCAGAAGCUGCCCUUGAGCACGCUGUUUUUGUCUCUACAAAAUAUGCAUUUACAUAAAAAUCAGAGAGAUGUAAAGUUUAUAUUGUGCUUUUUUUACUAGUCAAAAGUUCUUCUAAGAUCUGUACAGUUGUCUAAGCUCAGCAUUAUUUAUGUACAUUAUAAAAUAAGUUAUUUUGCUGAUGAGAUCACUAAUUACUUAUAGCCCAAAGCACAACAUGAUGUUUAAGAUAAUAUAUGAAACCUUCAUCAGAAAAUGGAAGCUAGUUAUUUUUUUUUUACUUGCAUCCAUCUCUGUUUAUCUGUAAUUAAAGGGACAUUGUGCUGAAACAUAACGAGGGUUAAUGGGCUAAAUUACAAGUGUAGUGGUAUUUAUCGCUCCAACUCGAGCACAAACAAUGCUGAAAGUAAAGUCUUUAUGCAUUCAGGUUAGCGCACUUAUUACAAAUUGAAAGUAAAUUCUUAGUGCUUGAGCGAAACCUUAUGAGCGCAAACUUCAGGAAUUCAGAUAUUGCAACCGUGUUAAUUUCUCCCCAUAUAAUUUAAUGGAGCUGAAUUAAAAAAAACUCAUCGCUUGCGUGCUAACCCAACACUGUAUUAAACCCACAGUGCUAUAUCUGACAGGACGGGCUUAUUAAUAUUUCACAUUCCACUGUUCUUUGUAUACAGGAAAAUUUUAGAUAUAUCCAUAUAUAAUGAUACCUGUGUGUGUGUGUCAGUCACAUGGCAGUAACUCAAUGCAUUUAGACAUCUAGACGUGUUGAAGACAACUUUCUGAAGUUCAAACCGAGCAUCAGAAUGGGGAAGAAAAGGGAUAUAAGUAACUUGAACAUGGCAUGGUUGUUGGUGCCAGGCGGGCUGGUCUGAGUAUUUAAAAAACUGCUGAUCUACUGGGAUUUUCACGCACAACCAUCUCUAGUGAAAAUAUCCAGUGAGCGGCAGUUGUGUGGAUGAAAAUGCCUUGUUGAUGUCAGAGGAGAAUAGGCAGACUGGUUGGAGAUGAUAGAUUGGCAACAGUUACUCAAAUUAUUUACUAAAAAGCAAAAGAAAGAGGGGGCGCACAGAAUAUGACAGAUAUUGCAAGUUAAUCUAACAUACAAACCAACUUUAAACAAGGCCAGUCCUUGUGGAAAUUAACGGAUCUAUGUCAUUAUAGUUGUAUGAUAAUAGUCCGAAAGAUGGGUCAGUGCUAUGCACUGUCCACGGUGUGUGGGCACUCCCACAGUUCACAGGGUAAUGGUGGCUGCUCUCCUCAUCUCAGAUGAUCCUGAACAGAACUAUAAAGUGAAGCACAAAACAAAGGGUCACCUCAUGUGUAGAUCAACCGACAACAGAUACACCAUAUGUGAAGGCCAAAGCCAAAAGUGUACUCACAUUUGGCAAUAGCACACCAAUGUGCUGGUAGUAGCAGGCUGAUAUCUCUGGGUGUAUCAGCUCACCCUCUGUCGUCUGGUGGUACCAACUGGAUUUCAGACUGGAUGCAGGGCACACAUAUGCUAGCACUAUGCUUGAGUAUAAAAAUGGUUUAUUAAAAACACAUUUAAAAACAAAAGCAGUGAGUGGAAUAGGGGUGUCCAAGUGUUCCCCCCCCAUCUGCAACGCGUUUCCCGGCUAUGGCUGCCAUUUCAUCAGGCAUCUAGCACCUUACACAGUUCAGUUUUAUUUAAACCAUUUGUUAACCACUGAGCAAACCCACCGCCCAUUGUGGGUGUGUUGAAUGCACAUAAGUUGAUAAUUAAAUUAAUCAUGAUUAAUUUCUGUCUUCCUAAAGUGUCAAAACAUAUAACAUCCUAAUUUCUAAAAUACAUAUUUCAUGUUCACUUAACCUGUUGGCCCUCACUGAACCUUGGCUUUCCUCCUCUAACACAACUGCUGUAGCCUCUCUGUCCUAUGGCGGCCUGCACUUCAGUCACACUCCCAGACCAGGAGACAAACAAGGAGGGGGAGUAGGAAUUUUCCUGUCUCCACACAGUACAUUUCACUGCAUUCCUUCACCCCCCUCUCUUUCCUUCUCAUCUUUUGAAGUUCAUGCUAUCCGCCUCUUCUUCCCUGUAGCUCUUCGUGUUGCAGUUAUCUAUCGGCCCCCUGGCCUAGCAUCACAAUUUCUGGACCAAUUUGAAGCCUGGCUUCCACAUUUUCUCUCUCGUAAUGUCCCUUCUCUCAUCUUAGCGGACUUUUACCCGUUAAUAAUCCUAACAUGCCUGCUGUCUCUAAACAUCUAUCCCUAACCACCUCUUUUGGCCUGUCCCAGUGGACAACAUCUCCAACCCACUGUGACGGCAACUCCAUAGACCUAGUCUUCACUAAUCUCUGUGCCGUUUCCAACUUCUUUAACUUCCCCUUUCCUCUCUCUGACCAUCAUUUACUAACUUUCUCUCUUACUCUAGCUACUACAUCUUUGCAAGCCCCCAAAAAACUGCUACCUUGCAGGAAUUGAAAUGACUUGGAUCUCACAAACUUUUCUACUCAACUGAAUCCUCUGCUUUCCAACAUUUCAUCCUUCUCUUGCCCAAAUUUUGUGGCCUUACAGUAUAAUUUGGCACUAAAAUCAACACUUGACCAAGUUCCACCCACUCUGACGUGCAUCAAUCACUUGAUGGCAACCGUGGCACACCAAACAUACCAAAUAUCUUCAGCGAUGUUCACAGGCUGCUGAACGGCAGUGGAGGAAAUCACCCACCUGUGCUGAUUUCUGGCAUUAUAAAUUCAUACUAAAGUCCUACAACUCUGCGCUCAGCCUGACCAAACAAGUCUAUUUCUCCUCCCUUGUAUCAUCUCACGCACCCAACCCCAGAAAGCUGUUCUCAACCUUUAACUCCCUUCUAGGUCUGCCUGCAUUCCUGCCCACUACUAACGUCAUUGCUCAGAUUAUUGCUGAUCACUCCACAAAUAAAAUUGACACCAUUAGAAAAUAUAUCUGCACCUUACACCCCUCAAACCCAACAAUCCUACCCACCCCUUCUAUUAACAAAACUCUAUGCUACUUCCCUCCUGUAACAGAGGAAGAAGUCUCUGUACUCCUAUCCUUGGCUCAUCUCACCACCUGCCCACUUGACCCUAUUCCUUCACAACUUCUUCCCUCUCUCUCUGCUUCACUAACCCCUACUCUAACUCAUCUCUUUAACCAAUCUCUUACUGCUGGCACAUUUCCUGAUACAUUUACAAAAUUUGGUUUAGCACACCAUACAAAAAUUUUAUAUACACAUCUUUGGGAGUGCUGCAAAUAUGACCUAGUCAAUACUAAAACAAAAAGUUAUUAGCGCACAUCCAUUUUCAAAAGCACAACAUUUUUUAAACUGCUGCAAAAAAUUUGCCUGCAAAACACAUCAAAAGUCAACUAUUCUUUUUCACACAAUAUGGCCAUAUUCUGCUUAGCCAGUGUCAGGGUGCCAGGAAUCAGACUGAGACAAGAAGUGCAAAAAUAAUCACACCUUUAUUAAUAGCAAAAAAUAAUAAAAAGUCCACAAGUCAAAUAAGAAGCCAGGAAUCAAAACCAGAACUGGUAGUCAGACAAGCCGAGUCAGGAGCCAAAGCGAAUAGUCAGACGGGCCAGGUAAUACACAGGAGCUCUCACAAACAGGUCUGAGACCACGCAAGGGCAAAGCAUACUGAACAGAGGCCCUUUAAAUAAAAAGUGAUGACAUCACAAUUCUGAGACUCCAUCCUGUCUCACACGGAUGAUGUACACCAGUCUGGCCAUAAAAGGAAGUGCAGGAAAUGAGCAGCAUCACACAGUAUGCACCAGAGUCAGGAAAAGAGGUAAGUAAAAUGGCUGACAGCAGCACAUAGCAAAUAGAUCAGGGAAAAAACCCUGACAGCCAGUCACCAACUUACAAGGUGCCUCAAUAUAGACUGGUCCUAACACUACAUUCAUUUGCCUCAGAGGGCUGAAUCAUUCCUGCUUUUACUCUUCAUAAUAGAAUGAGUCUCACCCGGCUUAAUAUUCACAACUCUUUUACACUGUCAUGAGCACACCUGAACUAGGGUUGGAUGCUUUAACCAAUGAGAUCUGGUCAGUCUCCCUGAUUAUGUUGUCAUACAUUUACAAAAUUUGGUUUAGCACACCUUACAAAAAGUUUAUAUACACAUCUUUGGGAGUGCUGCCAAUAUGACCUAGUCAAUACACAAAUUUCCUGAUACAUUCAAGCAUGCGUCAAUCAUACCAAUCCUAAAAAUGCCCUCGCUUGACCCCUCCACCCCUUCUAAUUAUGGACCGGUCUCCUUACUUCCCUUUGCUUCAAAAUUAUUGGAACGACUGGUCUAUAAUCGGCUAACUCAAUUUCUCAAAACUAAAUCCUUACUUGAUCCACUACAAUCUGGUUUCCGCCCUAAACACUCAACAGAAACCGCUCUUACUAAAGUAACAAAUGACCUGUUAUCAGUUAAAGCAAAAGGUCACUACUCCUUACUAAUUCUUCUUGACUGUCCGCUGCCUUUGACACAGUUGACCAUCCUCUCCUCCUAAAAAUACAUUCAUUUGGCAUCCGAGACACAGCCCUCUCCUGGUUUGCCUCAUAUCUCUCAAAACGCUCGUUUUUAGUUUCCUUUAACAACAUAUCUUGUGAUCCUAUGCCUCUCUCAGUUGGAGUACCGCAGGGCUCUGUCUUGGGUCCCUUGCUUUUCUCUCUCUAUACAUCCUCCUAUGGAAAAUAGCCUCCUUUGUAUUCCAAUAUCACUUAUAUGCUGAUGAUACCCAAAUCUAUCCUUCCUCUCUUGAUAUCUCUCCAAACCUUAUUCAACCAGAUUUCCAACUGCCCCUCUGCAAUUUCCUCUUGGAUGUCUUCACACUACCUCCAACUCAAUCUGUCCAAAACUGAGCUGCUUCUUAUUCCCCCCCCCCUCUUCGAGACAUCAAACACCUGACAUUUCUCUGACGGUUGGAGACUCUUUUCUCAACACCUCACCCCAGGUCCGCUGUCUUAGGGUUACACUUGACUCAGAACUCACAUUCAACCCACAUAUACAGGGAGUGCAGAAUUAUUAGGCAAGUUGUAUUUUUGAGGAUUCAUUUUAUUAUUGAACAACAACCAUGUUCUCAAUGAACCCAAAAAACUCAUUAAACUCAAAGCUGAAUAGUUUUGGAAGUAGUUUUUAGUUUGUUUUUAGUUAUAGCUAUUUUAGGGGGAUAUCUGUGUGUGCAGGUGACUAUUACUGUGCAUAAUUAUUAGGCAACUUAACAAAAAACAAAUAUAUACCCAUUUCAAUUAUUUAUUUUUACCAGUGAAACCAAUAUAACAUCUCAACAUUCACAAAUAUACAUUUCUGACAUUCAAAAACAAAACAAAUCAGUGACCAAUAUAGCCACCUUUCUUUGCAAGGACACUCAAAAGCCUGCCAUCCAUGGAUUCAGUCAGUGUUUUGAUCUGUUCACCAUCAACAUUGCGUGCAGCAGCAACCACAGCCUCCCAGACACUGCUCAGAGAGGUGUACUGUUUUCCCUCCUUGUAAAUCUCACAUUUGAUGAUGGACCACAGGUUCUCAAUGGGGUUCAGAUCAGGUGAACAAGGAGGCCAUGUCAUUAGAUUUUCUUCUUUUAUACCCUUUCUUGCCAGCCACGCUGUGGAGUACUUGGACGUGUGUGAUGGAGCAUUGUCCUGCAUGAAAAUAAUUUUUUUCUUGAAGGAUGCAGACUUCUUCCUGUACCACUGCUUGAAGAAGGUGUCUUCCAGAAACUGGCAGUAGGACUGGGAGUUGAGCUUGACUCCAUCCUCAACCCGAAAAGGCCCCACAAGCUCAUAUUUGAUGAUACCAGCCCAAACCAGUACUCCACCUCCACCUUGCUGGCGUCUGAGUCGGACUGGAGCUCUCUGCCCUUUACCAAUCCAGCCACAGGCCCAUCCAUCUGGCCCAUCAAGACUCACUCUCAUUUCAUCAGUCCAUAAAACCUUAGAAAAAUCAGUCUUGAGAUAUUUCUUGGCCCAGUCUUGACGUUUCAGCU
This is a long non-coding RNA of Bombina bombina (fire-bellied toad), 6797 nucleotides long. RefSeq lists it as uncharacterized. NCBI's taxonomy places the organism in Eukaryota, Metazoa, Chordata, Amphibia, Anura, Bombinatoridae. The record is from RefSeq and is a predicted model, not a curated record. The transcript is spliced from 3 exons.